This is an RNA transcript of Zeugodacus cucurbitae (melon fly), 11390 nucleotides long. RefSeq lists it as uncharacterized. Lineage: Eukaryota; Metazoa; Arthropoda; Insecta; Diptera; Tephritidae. The transcript is spliced from 8 exons. The record is from RefSeq and is a predicted model, not a curated record.
AUCGCGUUAAAAAUUCAAUAGAAGAUCGAAUCAAAACAAAACUGGCUGUGGCACUUGCGGCGCAUGCAACUGCCACAACCACUUGCUGACUGCCAGAGAGUCGAUUACUUAUGUAUGAGUAUAUACAUGAACGCUUGUAACUUGUAAAUGUAACUGUGUGUGCACCGCAAUGCACGGCUCUGUCGGUGUGUGUAACCGCGCGCAUUGCACUUGCCAGUGUAUGCGUGCGUUGGCUAGUGAACGGUUGUGUGAAUUAUGAAGUGUGUGUGUGUAUAUGUAUACACCAAAUGUUUGUUAGCCAGCGCAUGUGCAUGUGUGUGUGUGCGUGCGAGAAUGUAAGUAAGCGUGUUUAAAUUUUAUCUGACGGAUUGAAUUAUUCGUGAGUAGUGAGUAUGGUUGGCAGCGAGUUUUGACUAGCGCUUGCCAAGCAACUGAAAACAAGUUUUUAAAGUAGUUUUCUUUGGGACGGCGUCGUUGCUGGAUGUGUUUUUGAACGUAUAGCGGUCGACUAGCGCAGUGUACAUAGUACGUUAGUGUAGUGUAGCAAAGCAAAGUAAAUGGUGAAUAGUGUAGCAAACACACAAAUGUUUUAUAUUUUUUCGUGCAGUGAAUGUGAAAUAAUAAUAAUAAUAGAAGCAGUGAGCAAUACUAUUGAUAAGCUAAUGUUUAAAACCAACUGAAAGGAGAAGUGCGGUUAAAUUUCGUGUAAAGUGUUAUUAAAGAAAAAUAUACUAACAACUCAUAAAGGCAGUGAUCUUAAUUUAAUUAAUGAAAUUUUAAUAUUUUUUUUCAAAUAAAACAACAAGAACAAGGCAGUCAACCAAACUGGAUACUAUAGCUAUAAAAAUCCAAUCGCCACGCAGCUUACCCCCAAAGUGUUGCCAGUCUCUCUGAGCCAAGUUUGAUUAUAGAAAAGUCAGUAUUCGAAUCUGCAUCUGUGCGCUUAUCGUGUUUGUGUGUGUAUAUUUGGGUACUAGAGCAACGUCUUAGCGCUCUUUUAUGUUUGUAAAGUGUUGUCUUGGUAUGUGUGUCGUUGUAACAAAGUUUGAAUUUUAUUCUUACAAGCCACACGACCAAGUCUCAAAACGUGUCGAGUGCCAGCAGUGAGUGUUUGCAUUGCCAUAGCAUUGGAAAAAAUCGAAUUGUGGAAAAUAAUAGCUGCAUAACUACUGAUGUGCAAUAAAAAAAUCGUGAAAUAAAAUAAAAAAAUAUUAAAAUAAAAAAUUUUAAAUAAUAUUAAAAAAUACAAUAAGUGAAAAAUUAAAAAAAAAAACAAUAUACAUAUUUGUAGAAUAUAGCAAAAAAAAAUAUUUUAUCUGCAUUGUAGUGAAAGAAAAGUGUAUGCAAAAAUUCAAGCAAUAAAUGCAUUAAAAGUGUUUGAAAAUCCAACUUGAAACCAAAAAUAAAUUGAAUUAAAAAAGUGAAUAAUAUUAAUUGAAUGUUAUAUGCAACAAAAAAGAAGCUCUUCAUUGUGUUUUUGAAAACGAAAAUACUGGAUAUAGCAAAAAACAAGCGGUGUGUGCACUGCCAGCAGCAUUACUCACCGCGCGAUUCAAACGAAACAACGCCAGUUGAAUGUGUAUUAAAAAACCCAGACGCUACACGUUCAAAGCCUGAUUUUUUUCUACGCAACAGGAUUAAAAAAUCAAAAACAAAAAAAAAAAUAAUUAAAAAAAAACCACGAAAAAAUCACCAUCUAACAAAAUUAAUUCAAUAAAAGUGCAAGUCACAACGGAAAUCAGCGUUUCCAUAUCAAAUAUUUUUUUCAAUUUCAAAUCACAAUUAACGCAAUUGGAUGAAAAAACGAAAUUUUUACUCAAAUUUUUUGAGUAAAAAUACACAUUUUGAUAUCCAACCAGCUUGCCGCGUCGUCGUGAAUGCUGAAUAUCAAUCAUCCAUAACAUUUGCGUCUCCAUCAGCCAGCGAAACAGAUUGCUGCAGAACGAGUUUUUCGGUUGUAAGAGCUUCUUUUGGACACAUUUGGUUCUUCUUCCGUACUCCAUGAGACAGUGAUUCAUCACACUUGAAAGCUUAUUUUACAAAAUUUUCGAACGACAAACUUCGCCUCUACAUCAACGACUUAAAUUGUAACUGAUUUGACAGCACGUAUAAGGAAAAGGCCGCAAUGUGCAUUUGAUACUCAAUUGUGUGCUGUUUCCCAACUGAUUAGUGGUUGGACGCCCCGCCGCUCUUCAACGGGACCACCAUGGACGCGAAAAAGCUGCAACAGUUGCAGCAAGCAAACGCGCAGAAGAAAUUGCCGCUCGCCUAUCAAACGAACCUCGUCGACUAUCGUGCCGCCACACAUUCGCCCGUCUUUCAGCAACAACAACAACAGGCCGCAAUGAACGCUUAUCAUGGCGUUGGCGGCAGCGGUUAUCAGCAAAGCCCCACCGCCACCUCCUCGAGUGGUGGGCCGCUUACACCCAUCGACAUGCAACCGCAACCAAAUAAAAUGCUACUGAAGCAUAUGGCCGGUGGCGGUGGCAACACCUCGAGCAGCUCACACAGUUCGCCGUAUCAUCAGUCGUCCUACAACAGUGGCGGCGAGCAGCUCUACCAGUCACCGACGGAACGUACCUAUUUGACAGCGGCUGGACGUCUGCAGGCCACGUCGGCGCAUAAUCCUGCCUCAACGCUGCAACAGCAAUACCAACAGCUGCAACAAGCCAAGAUGCAGGCGCAAAUGCAGACGCAGAGUGAGGCGGUGGUGCAGCAGCAGCGUACGUUCGCCAUGCGACAGGCAAUGAAUCCGCCCGUGCCGCAGGGACACUUCCAUAUGAGUCAGUCGUCCAGCAUCAUGUCGACGAUGACCUUGCAACAACAGCAGCAACAACAACAGCAGCAGCAACAGAAUGCCGCAGCGGCAGUACAUGGACGUGCGCCUCCCUCCACACUGAAUUUGAAUAGUCAAUAUCAGCCAGCAGCCGGCGUGGGCCCGCUGAAGGUCAAUCAGAAGCAGUCGCAGCAGCAACAUUAUCACACACAAGAUCAGCAGCAAAUUUACGCACAACACCAGCAACAACAUCAACUGCAAUUGCAGUUGCAACAUCAGCAACAGUUGCAGCAGCAGCACGCACAUCAACAACAACAGCAACGCCUGAAAUCGGAACAACCGACACCUGGCAGCGAGCAGAGCCCCGUUUACAUACAACAAAACCAUCCCGGACACGUAGUCAAUCAGGCCUGCCAGACGCAGAUUUCGGCGGUUAAAGGCAGUGCUGUGGUACAAAAGACCACACCCAGCUCGGAGGACUCGUCGGGUAAGAGCCCUUCGCAUGCCCCCUUAGACCGCAAGAAGAGUAUCGGUUCUAUGCAGGCACUCAAGUCCCCCAUCACCAAGCGUCCUAUCUCGUCACCGGUAACGCUUUCCGGUUGGCUCUACAAGCAGGGCUCGGACGGUUUGAAAGUGUGGCGCAAACGUUGGUUCGUGCUGGCCGAAUAUUGCCUGUACUACUAUAAGGGACCCGAGGAGGAGAAACUGCUCGGCUCUAUACUCUUGCCAUCGUACAAAGUGUCCGCCUGCCUGCCGGAGGACAAAAUCUAUCGGAAGUACGCCUUCAAGUGUGAACACCAGAAUAUGCGCACCUAUUGGUUGGCCGCCGAGACGGGCGAGUCCAUGAUGCAGUGGGUACGUGCACUCACCGCCGCCACAACAAUGCAAGCGCCCAACAGCGGCGAAUCCGAUCAACCGAGCGGUUCGUCUUCGUUGAAUCAUAGCGGCGAAAACUCCGACUCUGGCAUACACACUUUGCAGUCGCAGCAAAGUAAGAUGAGCCUCAAUCAGGGCCAGGUAACGCCGGCCUCAGAGAACGCCAAUGCGAACUCGGCGUCGAGCAGCAACAGUGGCGGCACCGGCGGAGCACAACCUUUGUAUGCAAACGCUCCACCCAAACCACGACGGAUCAACGAUGGCGGCUACUCUUCCCCCAGUCCCGAACAUUCGAUUGACAACGAACGCAAACCACAUCAUCAACAACAGCAGCAACAACAGGCUGGACGUCAUAGCGGUCUUAUGUCACCGACAUUGCAGCAAAUGCAACAACAACAACACUACCAACAACGUGGCGGCCAGCAACCGCAACAACAUCAUGCCAUUUACGAUACACGCACCGGUAAUGUUUCGUCCGCACUGCGGCUACAACAAACACAACAACAAUACUCGGUGGACCAAUUGGAGGCACAAUUGCAGCAGCAAAUGGCUUUGUCGGCGGAGGAUUACCCCAAAUCGCCGCCACCGCCUGCCACACACUCCAAUUACAUGGAGCUCGAAGAGCAGAUGUUACGUCUGCAACAGCAACAGCAACAACAACAGCGUGGCGGUGAAGAGAUUUACGGUGAACGCGAUCUGUAUAUGCAAAAGCUGAUACAACAACGUUAUCCACCACAUUUGGCGCUCUACCCGAAUGCCGAACGUCGUACACCGGACGCAUAUGGUCGCUCGAAAAAUCGCAUCUUCUCGGAUUAUGAAGAUAUUUACAAUUUAGCCCAAGCCGGUUUGGCAACAUCAGCGCAGGAGGCUCUGCUACAGGAGGCGGCCAGUUAUCGGCGGCCGCUGAGCCCACCCAGUUACGAUGGCAGCAAACAUGUGCCAGCUAUGCCGAUGCGUUACACGCCCAAUCACAUGGAGUCCGCACAACAACAACUUACGGCCAGCAACAGCAAUUUGCGCUCACGUCCACCCGCCGCUAUCGUGCGCCCACAUUCGGCGGACUUUUUGGAAUACGAAGCACGCGCUGAAUCAGCAGCGGUAGCUGCAGGCACCGCCGGCAAUGGCAACCUAUCGAGCGCCAUCAAACCAGAUGCUGUGCGCGCGCCACGUCCGAAAUCUUCGCUGGACAUCAAUCGUACACCGGACAGCUUCUAUUACUCGGAGGCGAGCUACGCGGAGAAGAUGCGCAAAAGCGCACUCUAUUUGCAACAUCCACAGGGCGCCACGAAUGCGCAGCCACAGCAAGCGGGCGGCUAUCGCACUGCCAAUGAUUUCCUAGGCCCUGUAGGUAGCGGUAUGCACACCAUCGGCUAUGAGAAUCCCUACGAACGCGGCUAUAAGCGUGGCGAGCAACUGCACGACGGUCAGGGUGCCGCCAGCAUGCCGCGCAUGAGCCGUAGCAACACAACGACCGCCAUGAACACGAGCAGCUUGGCGCAUUUGCGCUCGCAAUCGAUGCAUCCGCAAUCGCAGACGACGCUGCUCUCGCCACAGUCACAGUCACAGCAGAAGCAGCAGCAACCACCGCCGCCGCAAAAGCCUGUCUAUACGCCAACCAUGUCGACGCAGCAGAUUAUUCAGCAAAGCGAGCAAUUCCUACGCUCGGCAAGCGCACGCCUGCCCAAGCGCAGCGGCGGUUUCGAUGAUGACUACAACAGCGCGGCGGCCACUUCACCGCCACAGCAACAGCAACAGGCAUUAUUGCAGUCAUCUCAGUCUCAGUCUCAGUCACAGUCACAAUCACAAUCAUCUUCACAAUCACAACCACAACAACAUCAACAGCAGCAUCAGCCAUCGCCACAGGAUGGCGAACGCAAGCGUGAGGAGUCAAUGAAACGUUUGCUGGAGUGGAAGCAGCGCAUGUUGCAGUCACCGUUGACGCGCAAGGGCAUGCAGCAAGGUGGCAGCAAUAUGUCGGCCAUGUCGAAGCUUGGUAGCAAUCCGAACAUACUGCUCGCCUCGACGACGGUGGCGAGCGGCGCGCAUUAUGCCGCCACUAAUACGAGCGGUGGCAACAGCAGCGGCAAUGCGGUCGGUGGUAGUGUUGCGGCUGGCACUGUUGGUGGGAGCAGCGGUGGUGGUGUCACAACGAUUGCGGCUGGUGGCAGUCUUGUUGGUGGCGUAGGCGGUAUACAACGCAGUCGUUCGGAUGCGCAUGCGAACCUCGGUCCAGCUGGCUACAAUAGUUACUCGUCAGACGAUGAAGAUGGAGACAACACAAACGGCAAGCCGGCAGGAAGGUCCACCACCACCACAACCACAAACACCACUACCAUUACUACCAACUCUGUUAUCAAUACCAAUACCAUUACCAGUACUACUACUCUUGCUAGCAUUACUAGCUUAGCGACAAGUGUCGGUACUGACAUUAGUGCCGUUAGUCCAGCGGCAACAACAAGCGCUGUUGGCCAAGCAAUUGAGGGUAGUGAUAAAUGUAAUCUAGCAACAAAGUCAACAAUUACAUUUGCCGACGCCAUUACAGACACAACAACAACACAAACGAAGACCGGCAUUGACAAGACGGACGCACGCGAAACAGCGACAGUGACAGCGCCGAACGAUAACAACCAGAACAACAGCGUAGCAACAAUGUUAACAACAACAAAAGCACCAUUUACACUGAAACCCAUACUGAAGGGUAGUGGGGAUAGAGCAAAGCAAUACACGACACAUGAAACGCGUAGUGGAACACCAACGCAACACGCUAAAUUGCAACUGAAUAUGGCGGCGCUUAAGAACAAUGCAUUGCCGCAGCCAGACAGCGUUGAUAUGGAGGUGCCCAUUUUGCCGAAGAAACCGGCGCCGAAAUCACCGCAAAUUACCACAUACACACCCGUCUACACGACAAAGACACUGACGCCAACGCCAUCACCUUCGAAGACGUAUGAGAAUGUGCAAUUAAUUGAUAACAACGAUGAAGCGAAGGAGACCACCGUCGAAACGGCGGUUGAUAGCAUGCAGCAGUUAGUAGAGCAGCAAACCGCAGACACUAUAGAUAAUUAUGAUGUCGGUAAUACUGAGCAUGUAGUGGCAGAUGAUGCUGCAGGGCGGAUGCCUGAACUCAUUCAAGCGCAGGAGCCAAUGUCAAUGCAGACAAUAAAUGAGCAGGAGACACCAAUGUUGGCGCAGUUGCAAGUUUAUCAAAGAAUACAAGAGGCUAAUCUGAAGGCGGUGAAGGAUACAGAAACGAAAGGGGUGCAUAUGCCGGUUAAAGAAAGCGUCGUGCUGGCAGCAGAGUUGCAGGCUGAUUGGCAGGCGACAGCAGUGGAUGAGAAUUCGAGCAGUGAGCUGAAAAAUGAGCCAAACGCAAAUGUAGGUGAAGCGGGAGAUGCCGCGCUUGACACUGGUGAUACUACACGAGAAGACACUGAUGAAGACGACGACACGGUCGGUGAGGAAUAUACCGAUGAUGAUCUCGACGAAGCUUUAGCUGAAGAGGCUGACGCAGAAGAUGAAACUGGCACUGGCGUCACAGCAAUGCCAUCAAAUAACAAAUCCACGGAUGCUGGCAUUAUGACUACAGCUGCAACUGAACUCAAGCCACUAGUUGUGAUUGAGCCGCGCACACCUCUUAUGGCCGCGCUGACUUUCGACGAGAAUCACUAUCUGCCAAUGACACCGAAGAAGAGUGAUUUAGCGCAGAGUGGCAAUUUGACGUUGAUAAGUCUGCAUGAUUCCACCACUGAGGAAGAGAAUCCUUAUGUGGAAAUGAGCAAAAAUCUGCCGGAUGAAGACUCCAGGUCUAAUUAUGAGGUGAUGUGCAUAAAUCCACACGUCGGUCCGGCCUUAACUAGCGCUGCUGUUAAGGCCAAGCAGCUGCAAAUACAAGCUGAGCCUGUCUAUAUGGAGUUAAGUGCAGCAAGCAGCAUAAGUGAAAGUGGUAGCCAUACUGCAGGUGCACAUAGCAGCGCUGCUGUCGCCAAUAAUCCAUUACCAGCGCCACCACCACUGCCGGCAGACGAGUUACACAGCUCAUCCGGUAGGUCGACAUUGAAGAAGAACAAAAAGGCUACUGAUACUUUAAAGAAAAAAGCGAAGAAAUCCAGUGCUGAGCGUUCACAAUGCAAGCGAAAAGAUCUUCCCGACAUAUUGAAGCAGUCGCAGGGCACAAUGUCACACGUCUCCGAUAGUUCGGACGCCGACGAUGAGUCUACAAAACAUACCGAUCUCAAGAAAAUGCGUUCGCGCACACGUUUCAGUCUGUCGGACACUUUCCGUCCCGCCUCAUAUUAUCUAGGUGCCUCCACACCACUUGCAGAUUGUGCCGAAAGCUCUGAUAGCGAAAUAGUUUCGCCACCACCAAUACCAGCCUCACCGCCGCCAAUGGAGGAUUUGAAGACUGAAGAGAUAUUCUCUUCCGAGCAUUAUGAUACGGUGAAGCGACGCGACAGCAGCAGUGGCAGUGUAACGAAAAUCAAUUUAUCGUACGAUCAAAUACCGAAGUUGCAUGCCAGUAACACCUCGUUAAAUAGACAAAAGGCCGAGACGACUUUGAAAUGCAGUCGUUUAUCGCUGCCAGAUCAGUUCUCGAAACAACGCAGUGGCGUACAGUUCAAGCAGUCGCAUGCAGCUGCGCUACUAAAGCACCACGAACGUACGCUCUCCGACUCGAAUUACAGUUUUCAAACCGACAACAGUUCAAACACCUCAUCCGAUUUUGAUUUCUAUAAUAAACUAAAGCAAAAUUCACCCUCGUAUGUGGCGUCCCCCGGACGUUAUCCAUCGAACAGUUCUUUGCCACAGAAAUUCGUGCUGAACGCCACACCACCGACUGGCGACAGUAGUGAAACGGAUUCGGCGGUGGAGUUUCGACAUCGUCAAGGCUCGGACUCUGAAUUGGAACGACAACGUUCGCGUCGACCACUGUCCGAAGAGUCCAUUAGCGAGAUUGAAUCUUUACGUGAGAAAUUCGAGGAGACGCUGUCACAUGACUUGGACACUUAUCUCAGCCAUCUGCAAUCGAACGAUUUGUACCUCUAUCAAAAUACGCUUUUGAAUACGCCGCUGAGUGUAGGCUCAACAGAAUUACUAACAAAACUCAUAAAACCGCCAGAGACAUUCCGCAACAAGGACGAUGAGCAUUUCUACGGCAAUAUACGCUUCGUGUCGUCUACAGAUUCGCUACAGCGUCUAGGCGGAGACACACGCGAUGGUGCUGCCGCCGGCGCUGGCUGUGUGACGCCCACCUCCGGUGAGUUGGAUCACUCCAAGUACUACACACCGAUACACAGCCGAAAUAAUAGCAAUAUCUCCGACAAAUCAGCGCCUUAUUACUACUCGGAAUUGAGCAGCAGUCGGGAGAUGGUCGCCACACCCACAGCGCCUUUGAACAACCAGCGCGAUGUGCAUGCGCACGGCUCGAAUAUUGCGCACAUACAUAACCCCAUUGAUGGCCAUGGGCGCGUGAUCUCAAAUAUCAAUGUGGACCUGUUGGCCGACAAGGAUCAGGCGAUCGAUAGCAAAAACAUAUAUAAAAUGAAGAUGAAUGUGGAAAAGUUGAGUUACCGCUCAGGCAAAAUCUUGAAUGCUAAUGAAACUGCGCUUGCUGCUGCAGCCGCAACUUCAUCUUCGCCAAUAGCGGCAGUUAGUGAUUAUCAGCGACGCCAAGCGCACUCCACCAAAAUGAGCAACUACCAACAGACUAACCUACUUCAUGCACAAGUUGGUUCCACUGCAUACCCUGCCAUCAUGCACUCUCCCACAGGCGCAUCACAAGCUCAUGCUCCCUAUCAGACUUAUAGCGCCGACUGUAGCGCUAGGAUUGGCGGCGGUGGUGGUAGCGCCACAAAAAUUACAAAUAUGCAACAACAACAAUUGGGUCAUAGUAACAUCAUCGGUGUGGGCGCAUUGGGUCAUACAAGUCACGGUGUUGUCGGUGAAGGUACUGAUGUAGCAACGUCUCCCAUUGGAGGCCGAACGUCCACUAACACUAAUACUAAAGCGGUCACAGGCACGAACACAAAUAACGCACAGAAAUUCUCCGUUCUAGGCGCACCCAUUACAGGUGAGUUGCUGUGGGAGGAGGAUACGCUGUGGCGCGAGAGUCUCCGACGCGUCUCACAGCGUCACGCGCGUUCAUUGGACGAUCUCGAUCGCAUAGCGCCCAGUCCGACGGCGCUCAUGAGACGCGAACUGCACGGUGUCGAACGCGGAGCGCACAAAACGAAAAUCACACGUGACGUCACCUAUGUAAACGACACUGUGUCGCAGCAAGUGCGCGCCACCUACAAGCCGCGCUUGAGUGAACCACUCACACAACACCGCGCUGAUGACGUGGAUCGGCUCAAUGAAAAUGAUGUCUACGUGCAGCUGCAUGAACAAAUGCUGGAUGAUGGACACAACUCGGAUGUGUAUGAGGUGUUGCGCACGGACAGCGGCUCAAACUUGUCACACAAAUCGGUGGAGAUCGAUCGCGAGACGAUACGCCAAUGGGACUCAAUGUCCAGCGGUUUGAUGAAACAUUCGGGCAGUAAUAGCAACUCGGAGAAUGAUAAUCCCUGCGGCAGUGAGAGUCUCACGAGUGUGGGUAGUACAGUGCGCGCUAUUAUGGAGCAGCUGAAUGUGAGUUGUGAUGACAAUGACAAUGUUACGCAUACGCCCUGCACCACCGAUGUGGAAUAAAGCGCCGCAAAAUGUACAAAUCAACAUAAAAACAAAGCAUGUAGUAUAAAAGCAACAAAGUAUAAAGUAAAUAAAAUAGAAUAAAUGUUAACAACAAGCAAUAACACCUGUUCUGCAUGCGCGCAACAGCUGCCGCGCGCUCUCUCCGUACACAUUAAGCCACAUAUGUGUGCAUGCAAGUGCUGACAGUGUUUUUAUAGUAAAGCUGUUAGUUGUUGUUUUUAUUGACUAUUGUUUAUUUAAAUGCAGACAAAUGCUCACGAAAUAAAAUAAAAGAAGGCAACAACAAAAUCAAAAUAAUAUACAAAGCCAUUCAUUGUAACGACUCAUUGUGCGGCAAAACCUUAACUACAACAAAUACUACCAUUGAGUUUAAACAACGCGUGCAACAUUAUCGCUUUGUUGAUAUCCCAGCGCGGCGCAUACAAAUUAGAAAAUAGACCAGCACAACUAAGCGCGCGCCAACAAACAUAGAAGUGAACGCAAGUGUAGCAUACACAAAGGCGCCGCGCGCUCUAUGCAUGUCUGCUUGUUUGUAUGUACAUAUAUAUGAGUAAAAUUUGAUUGAAUUUGCACAAAAUUUUGCACAAACACACGCACACAUAUCCCCACGCAGCGCAAUACCGUUGCCUACAACAAUAACUAUAUAUAUGUAAAUACACCGUUAAACAGCGACUAGACAGUUGGACAGACAGGCGCAAACUAUUCACACACACUCGGACGCAAAUAAAUGACUGAGACAAAUGCAGACAACACUGGCAUUUGUUGUUGUCUAUCAAUUGGCGUUGAUUGUUAUGGCUUUGUUGACUGUUGUUAUUGUUGUUGUUGUAAACAAUUUAAUUCUCUAAUGGUAACAAACUCUAGAAAAAAGUACCUUGAAAACUAGUUAAAAAAAUGCAAUGCAAAUAAAAUGCAGCGUCAAUUUCGGUACGGAAUGUACGCAAUUUACCCAAAGGCAAUCUUACCGUUAAGCCAGAUCCCUCGGAUGCACACAAUCCGCUACAGCAGCAACAACAACAACAACAACACUACGAUCAAGCACUGGGCAAACUAACGA